UACGAAGGGGGCGAGCGUUGUUCGGAAUUACUGGGCGUAAAGGGCGCGCAGGCGGCUCUGAAAGUCAGAUGUGAAAGCCCCGGGCUUAACCUGGGAAUUGCAUUUGAUACUCUGGAGCUUGAGUACGGGAGAGGAGGAGUGGAAUUCCCAGUGUAGAGGUGAAAUUCGUAGAUAUUGGGAAGAACACCGGUGGCGAAGGCGGCUCUCUCGGACCGUAACUGACGCUGAGGCGCGAAAGCCGUGGGGAGCAAACAGGG
Molecule: ribosomal RNA, 257 nt
Filed under: uncultured bacterium
Lineage: Bacteria
Description: partial 16S ribosomal RNA
Rfam family: Bacterial small subunit ribosomal RNA
Source: RNAcentral